UACGGAGGGUGCAAGCGUUAUCCGGAAUUACUGGGUUUAAAGGGUGCGUAGGCGGUUUAAUAAGUCAGAAGUGAAAAGUCCGAGCUCAACUGGGGCCUUGCUUUUGAUACUGUUAGACUUGAAUCAGGCUGAGGUUAGCGGAAUGUGACAUGUAGCGGUGAAAUGCAUAGAUAUGUCAUAGAACACCAAUUGCGAAGGCA
This 200-nucleotide ribosomal RNA is filed under the name uncultured bacterium. RNAcentral's name for it is "partial 16S ribosomal RNA". It matches the Rfam family "Bacterial small subunit ribosomal RNA", at positions 524 to 723 of the family's 1533-position model. The record is from RNAcentral.